UGAGCAAUCUGCCCUUCUCUUCGGAAUAAGCGUUGGAAACGACGUCUAAUGCCGAAUACGACCUCCUUUCACAUGAUCGGAGGUGGAAAGCUCCGGCGGAGAAGGAUGAGCUCGCGGCCUAUCAGCUAGUUGGUGUGGGUAACGGCCCAUCAAGGCGACGACGGGUAGCCGGCCUGAGAGGGUGACCGGCCACACUGGGACUGAGACACGGCCCAGACUCCUACGGGAGGCAGCG
This 235-nucleotide ribosomal RNA is filed under the name uncultured bacterium. RNAcentral's name for it is "partial 16S ribosomal RNA". It matches the Rfam family "Bacterial small subunit ribosomal RNA", at positions 118 to 353 of the family's 1533-position model. The record is from RNAcentral.